GUGCUUGUUUUGGCAGGAUAUAUACUAAAAUUGGAACAACACAGAGAAUAUUAGUAUGGUUCCUGCACCAGGAUGACACAAAUUCAUGAAGCAUUCCACAUUAAA
Sciurus carolinensis (gray squirrel) is the source of this 105-nucleotide small nuclear RNA. Lineage: Eukaryota; Metazoa; Chordata; Mammalia; Rodentia; Sciuridae. The record is from RefSeq and is a predicted model, not a curated record.